This 224-nucleotide non-coding RNA is filed under the name Marisediminitalea aggregata. Its description in RNAcentral is "Aestuariibacter aggregatus Bacterial small subunit ribosomal RNA". It matches the Rfam family "Bacterial small subunit ribosomal RNA", at positions 1 to 229 of the family's 1533-position model. Lineage: Bacteria; Pseudomonadati; Pseudomonadota; Gammaproteobacteria; Alteromonadales; Alteromonadaceae. The record is from Rfam by way of RNAcentral.
UAAUUGAAGAGUUUGAUCAUGGCUCAGAUUGAACGCUGGCGGCAGGCCUAACACAUGCAAGUCGAACGGUAGCAGGAAGUGCUUGCACUUUGCUGACGAGUGGCGGACGGGUGAGUAAUGCUUGGGAACUUGCCUUUAGGUGGGGGAUAACAGUUGGAAACGACUGCUAAUACCGCAUAAUGUCUACGGACCAAAGGGGGCUUCGGCUCCCGCCUUGAGAGAGG